RNAcentral lists this ribosomal RNA (1171 nucleotides) under uncultured organism. Its description in RNAcentral is "bacterial SSU rRNA". It matches the Rfam family "Bacterial small subunit ribosomal RNA", at positions 107 to 1282 of the family's 1533-position model. The record is from RNAcentral.
UGAGUAACGCGUAUGGAACCUACCUGAAACAGGGGAUAGCUUCCGGAAACGGGGAUUAAUACCCCAUACGAUUCAUUUGUGGCCUCACAAAUGGAUAAAAGCUACGGCGGUUUCAGAUGGUCAUGCGUACCAUUAGUUAGUUGGUGAGGUAAAGGCUCACCAAGGCGAUGAUGGUUAGGGGUCCUGAGAGGGUAGUCCCCCACACUGGUACUGAGACACGGACCAGACUCCUACGGGAGGCAGCAGUGAGGAAUAUUGGUCAAUGGGCGCUAGCCUGAACCAGCCAUGCCGCGUGCAGGAAGACGGCCCUACGGGUUGUAAACUGCUUUUCUGCAGGAAGAAUAUAUAGUCUUAGGGCUAUAUUGACGGUACUGCAGGAAUAAGCAUCGGCUAACUCCGUGCCAGCAGCCGCGGUAAUACGGAGGAUGCAAGCGUUAUCCGGAUUCAUUGGGUUUAAAGGGUGCGCAGGCUGUAAAGCAAGUCAGUGGUGAAAGCCCUGGGCUUAACUCAGGGAUUGCCAUUGAAACUGUUUUACUAGAGUGUAGUAGAGGACGGCGGAAUGAGUUGUGUAGCGGUGAAAUGCAUAGAUAUAACUCAGAACACCUAUUGCGUAGGCAGCUGUCUAUACUACAACUGACGCUGAGGCACGAAAGCGUGGGGAGCGAACAGGAUUAGAUACCCUGGUAGUCCACGCUGUAAACGAUGAUCACUCGUUGUUGGCUACUUAGUAGUCAGUGACCAAGGGAAUCCGAUAAGUGAUCCACCUGGGGAGUACGUCGGCAACGAUGAAACUCAAAGGAAUUGUCGGGGGCCCGCACAAGCGGAGGAACAUGUGGUUUAAUUUGAUGAUACGCGAGGUACCUUACCUGGGUUUAAAUGCUGGCUGCAUUGGAGGGAAACCUUCUUUUCUUACGGGACCGCCAGCAAGGUGCUGCAUGGUUGUCGUCAGCUCGUGCCUUGAGGUGUCGGGUUAAGUCCCAUAACGAGCGCAACCCCUAUCGCUAGUGGCCAGCAUGUAAUGGUGGGGACUCUAGCGAGACUGCCGGUGUAAACCGGAGGAAGGUGGGGAUGACGUCAAAUCAGCACGGCCCUUACGUCCAGGGCUACACACGUGUUACAAUGGCCGGUACAAAGAGCAGCCACCUGGCGACAGGGCGCUAAUCUCUAAAAC